GAUGAACGCUGGCGGCGUGCCUAAUACAUGCAAGUCGAGCGAACAGACGAGGAGCUUGCUCCUCUGACGUUAGCGGCGGACGGGUGAGUAACACGUGGAUAACCUACCUAUAAGACUGGGAUAACUUCGGGAAACCGGAGCUAAUACCGGAUAACAUGUUGAACCGCAUGGUUCAACAGUGAAAGACGGUCUUGCUGUCACUUAUAGAUGGAUCCGCGCCGCAUUAGCUAGUUGGUAAGGUAACGGCUUACCAAGGCAACGAUGCGUAGCCGACCUGAGAGGGUGAUCGGCCACACGGGAACUGAGACACGGUCCAGAAUCCUACGGGAGGCAGCAGUAGGGAAUCUUCCGCAAUGAGCAAAAUCCUGACGGAGCAACGCCGCGUGAGUGAAGAAGGUCUUCGGAUCGUAAAACUCUGUUAUUAGGGAAGAACAAAUGGGUAAGUAACUAUGCACGUCUUGACGGUACCUUAUCAGAAAGCCACGGCUAACUACGUG
Molecule: ribosomal RNA, 497 nt
Filed under: uncultured bacterium
Lineage: Bacteria
Description: partial 16S ribosomal RNA
Rfam family: Bacterial small subunit ribosomal RNA
Source: RNAcentral